Molecule: ribosomal RNA, 253 nt
Filed under: uncultured bacterium
Lineage: Bacteria
Description: partial 16S ribosomal RNA
Rfam family: Bacterial small subunit ribosomal RNA
Source: RNAcentral
UACAGAGGGGGCAAGCGUUGUUCGGAAUUACUGGGCGUAAAGGGCGCGUAGGCGGCCUUCUAAGUCGAACGUGAAAUCCCUGGGCUCAACCCAGGAACUGCGUCCGAUACUGGAAGGCUUGAAUCCGGGAGAGGGAUGCGGAAUUCCAGGUGUAGCGGUGAAAUGCGUAGAUAUCGUAAGGAAGACCAGUGGCGAAGGCGGGUCUCUGGACAGUUCCUGACGCUGAGGCACGAAGGCCAGGGGAGCAAACGGG